RNAcentral lists this ribosomal RNA (202 nucleotides) under uncultured Streptococcus sp. Its description in RNAcentral is "partial 16S ribosomal RNA". It matches the Rfam family "Bacterial small subunit ribosomal RNA", at positions 1181 to 1382 of the family's 1533-position model. The record is from RNAcentral. Lineage: Bacteria; Bacillati; Bacillota; Bacilli; Lactobacillales; Streptococcaceae.
GACGUCAAAUCAUCAUGCCCUUACUGACCUGGGCUACACACGUGCUACAAUGGUUGGUACAACGAGUUGCGAGUCGGUGACGGCGAGCUAAUCUCUUAAAGCCAAUCUCAGUUCGGAUUGUAGGCUGCAACUCGCCUACAUGAAGUCGGAAUCGCUAGUAAUCGCGGAUCAGCACGCCGCGGUGAAUACGUUCCCAGGCCUU